CGGCUGAGGCCACCCCGACCGGGGAGCCAGCUGCAGGCGAGGCCGGGGAUGCAGGCUUGUCAUAGGCCCUGGUCGCCCCUUGCGCGCGCCAUGCUGUGUGUGUGUGAGAACUCUGUAUGAGGGUUGGGGGUGGGCUCCUGUUGGGCAAGGCAAGGAGGAGGCCUCAAGCCUCAGCCUGCGGACACCCUCACCCUACCCCUCCCUCCCUCCCUCCCUCCCUCCCUCCUCUCCUGCCAUUUCCCUCUCUCUAUCCAUCCCUCCCUCCCUCUUUCUCUGUGUCACUCACUCUAUGUCUCAGGUGGCUGCGUUAAGUCAGCCUGUUGUGUCCAGUCCUCCCGUGUCUCUCAGUAGCGGUGUGUGUCUGUGUCUCUCUCUGUGUGUAAGUGUUGUCAGACCCCGUCCUGACAUGCUGGAGGUGCUCGGAGAGGCAGCGUAGCGAUUAGCGAUUAGCAUUUGUGAGGGUAGCAGGGAAUGCCUGCCUGACAGGCCCUGAAAAUGAAUCCAGUAAAGUACAGAUGAAAUCCAGAUUGCCUUUACAUAAUUCUGCCAUGACUUCUACCGAGUCAUAGUCAUAGUUCUAGUCUUAGUCAUAGUUCCAGUUCUAGUCAUAGUUCUUGUUUUUGUUCUAGUUCUAGCGCCCGAGACAUGGAUCCAGGUCUGUGUUGCUUCAGCUGCUUUGGCUAGGAGCCCCGGCACACAAUGCGCUGUCUCGCGGAGAUGAUGGUUAGGGUCUACCAAAUGCCCUGGGGAACAAAAUGUCUGCCUUCUGCUACCUAGAACAGUUUUUCUCUUGCUGUGGAAGCUGUGGAGGCAGUAUGGUGCUCUGUAGAAGGCACAUCUGAGGGAGAAAAAUGCAAAAAAUCAAGUAUCCAAGUCAAGAACAGCACCCCCUAGUGGCGUAGAGAAGAAACGUGCAGAAAUGUAUUGUUGUCUUUCCUGAUCCCUCAGCUCUGAACUCUGAACCCUUUGCUGGGCCAUGCUGUUCUCCGCUCUCUCAGGAGAUUCGCUGAGCAUUCCGUUUCCAGAAUAAAAAAGCUUAUACUGACACCUAAUGAAGUCAAGGUAUAUGAGGUCAUAUCCUGUGAGGUCAUGUACUGUGCGGUCACGUCCUGUGAGGUCACGUCCCUGUCAGGUAGUUGGUGUGUAGUCGACUCUCACAUUGAGGCUUGUGGAAGUCAGCUCAUUCUCCAUUGGUUUGUGUCCCAGUACUGUUAGUCUGAGCUUAGUCUGAGAUUAGUCAAGGAUUAGUCUAUGGGUUUCUAGGAUAACCCGUAACCUGUUGUAAAAAAUGUUGUGCUCUCUUUCUGCUCCCCUUCUCUUGUCUGUCUCUCUCUCUCUCUCUCUCUCUCUCUCUCUCUGUUCUUCUAUCUGGGUUAGUCAUGAGUGGGGGACAGUGUGUAGUUCUUGUGCGAUGGCCGUAGUGUGACACCCUCAGUGCACCAUCCAGAUAUACAGUGUAGUAGCUCAGUCUUUAGCUGUAGGACGGUUCGUGCAGUUGUAACGUAACUUGAGUUAUGAGUGUGUGUGUGAGUGUGUGUGAGAGAAAGAGAAGGUGUGGAUGGCUGGAUGUGUGCUUGCAUGAUUUGCUGCACUUGCCUCUCAUGGUUGAGUGUUGUUCAUUACUGUUUCUGACCUUUGCUGUGUGUCAGUGUUCACAGAAUUAUCAAACAAAUUAAGACAAAUGGUUAGGAAAGCAGAAAAAAAAAAAAAAAAGAUUUGGUAAAAGAAGGAGGAAUGCUUCACACGUUGACGGAAGAGAAGAGAAGUGACUGAACGAGGAGAAGCGUUCUUCGUCAUGCUGAACAUUAUUCUGUGUUGAAUCGAUUAGGAAAGGCCAACGAGUUAAGUGAUCUGAAGAUGAGGAAGAUGAAGAUAAUGAGUGAGAAUAAGAACUCUGUUUUUGUGUGGAAGCGUGGGUCUACACGUGUGCUUGUGUGCACAGAGUGCAAGGAUAGAUUGACUUGUGUGCUGUAUGUGUAGGGCCAGAGGUGUGUGUGUGUGAGAGGUGUGUGUGUGUGUGUGUGAGAGGUGUGUGUGUGUGUGUGAGAGGUGUGUGUGUGUGUGUGUGAGAGGUGUGUCUGACUGUCGAGUUCUAGCUGGUUUGUGUAGCUGUAGGAAUGUUUAAACGGAUUAUCAGAAAACGAAACUCCUUUCCAUAACUCCUGUGAAACAUAAGUCAAGGAAUCACAUAGACACACCCCCCCGACACUGUUUAGAAUUCAUCAUAGGCCUCUUUAUACAGCCAGUCAGUAGGAUGGUGAAGUGUCCUCAGCCCUGGUCACGGGGGAACUGUACUUCAUGUCUGUAUCAGUGAUAGGUUCUUCACACGCUUUGUCCAUUCUUUUUCUGUGACCUUCCUUUGGGUGGGAAUGUGUUGUGCGAAGUAUGAUAUGGGGGGGGCCUAUGGCAAAUGUGCAAUGAAACAUGAAAUAAUCAGAUUAUUGUGUAUUAAAGAAUGUGAAGAGUCUAAACUAAAUGUGAAAAGAUAAAUAGAAGUAUAUUCAUAAAUAGACCAUGUCUAUGUAGGUAGAAUGUGAAUAUAUAUAUAUAUACGAGUAUUGUUAAGAUUCAGUGGGAAGAUCUGAAGACAAUCAAUGCCAAGAUAGUUUUUUUUGUUAUAAUAUCUAUUUAUUUAUUUUUUUAUUUCUUGUCAUGCCUGUAACCUGAAUUCUGAUGGAUUCAGUACAUUUCACAGAAGACACACAUUUAAGUUUCACAGAACUUCAUCAAGUGCAUUUGAUUUAUGACAAUUUGUGUUUGUGUUUUUUUAUUUAUCAGAAGUGAUCAUGCCUAUCUAUUGCUUUGCUGUAGGACUGGUAAGGGUUAUUGGUCAGAGGGACUGGUCAGGUGUAUUGAUCACUCAUUGUAGUGGCUGGUUAAUCUUUAACAGAGACAGGUCUUGUCCUUACCACUGCUGUUUAGUGUGUGUCCUCAGUCACACACACACACACACACACACACACACACACACACACACACACACACACACACACACACACACACACACACACACACACUCCUGUCAAGUCGAAAUAAAGCAGAGGUUUAUUCUGGCUC
This is a long non-coding RNA of Clupea harengus (Atlantic herring), 3057 nucleotides long. The record is from Ensembl. Lineage: Eukaryota; Metazoa; Chordata; Actinopteri; Clupeiformes; Clupeidae.